ACCAGUGAUAGAAAGACAAAUAUCCCUGGCUACUUCGUAUUAGCAGCAAGCCUAGUAUGCCUUAUACACUGCCAGGGUAGAUGGUUUUUAUUUUUUUUAAGUUAAGUUGCUUUCCAACUCUUGACUGUGCAUAACUUUUUCUUAUAACCUGUGGUCUCUAUUUUUGCCUUCUGUUUAGCUCUUUCACUAGUAUCAUUACUUGCAAAUAUGCCAGAGCAUCUCAACUUUAUUCUACCAGGAUCACGAUUGAUUUAUAUUCUUCUUUUGGCUCCUUGCAGUGCUUUUUUCUGCUAGUGCAAGCUAUUUACAUGCACUUACUCUGCACUUUGCACACAUUAUUCCCCUUGUGGUAUUACCCCCUGUGAGGUCUAGACCUGUGCUAUCCAGUACUGAAUGAAUAAGAUAUUCCACAAAUACAUAUACUAUAUAUAGGUGUCUAUCUAUCUAUCUAUCUAUCUAUCUAUCUAUCUAUCUAUCUGUCUAUCUAUAGUCUCUCCAUAUUACCUAUAAUGUAUAUUAUAUAUAUGUAACUUAAAACUCUAGAUAUGCAGCUAAAAAAUGAACUGGCUAUAGUCUUUGCCCUUUUUAGUAUUUAACUAAAGACCUGCCUUUCUAAAGAAAGCUUCUGGUUUCAAUCGGAUAAAAUUAAUUUUUGACCUUGCUUGUACAUGGGAUGAGAGUUUAUAAAGUUAUAAUAUAAUUGGCAAUCUUGUGUCACUGUAAGUUUGACAUAUAUCAUUUGUUAGUGAGAAAGCAGAAGCUAUGCUAUGAAAUCCUCUCCCUCUCUGCUUUGAAGAAAUUUUUAUGGCAGAAACUAAACUAUAAUGCAGCUUAAACUUGGAACUAAGCCGAACAACUUGGAUUCAUGGGCAUAUCAGCAUCAUUAUGAUGGUGAUGAUCAUGAUGAUCAUUACUACCUUACCAUUAUCAUCUCAUCACAAGUAUUAUUAUUACUACUAAUGAGAGUUGUAAUUAUAUUACUUUUAUGUUGAUUCUUUCUCCAAAAUGAAUUCCUCCCCUCUCUUCCCAUUUUUUUACCUCGUCCUAAUUGUGUUUAUAGAAACAGAAGUGACAAUUUACUUAAUUACAUAAUACUAAACAAAAGAAUAUUGUAUCAACACUGAUUUGGCAUGGAAUGAGGUUGCCUAUUAAAGCUGUAUUAUCAU
RNAcentral lists this long non-coding RNA (1166 nucleotides) under Homo sapiens (human). RNAcentral describes it as "non-protein coding lnc-NTN4-4:1". Lineage: Eukaryota; Metazoa; Chordata; Mammalia; Primates; Hominidae. The record is from RNAcentral.